RNAcentral lists this ribosomal RNA (393 nucleotides) under uncultured bacterium. RNAcentral describes it as "partial 16S ribosomal RNA". It matches the Rfam family "Bacterial small subunit ribosomal RNA", at positions 523 to 918 of the family's 1533-position model. The record is from RNAcentral.
AUACGGAGGAUGCAAGCGUUAUCCGGAUUUAUUGGGUUUAAAGGGUGCGUAGGCUGUUCGGAAAGUCAGGGGUGAAAGCCCGGCGCCUAACGCCGGAACUGCCUUUGAUACUGCCGAGCUGGAAUACGGAUGCCGUGGGAGGAAUGAGUAGUGUAGCGGUGAAAUGCAUAGAUAUUACUCAGAACACCGAUUGCGAAGGCAUCUCACGAAUCCGUCAUUGACGCUGAGGCACGAAAGCGUGGGGAUCAAACAGGAUUAGAUACCCUGGUAGUCCACGCAGUAAACGAUGAUGACUAACCGUCGGCGAUACACAGUCGGUGGCCAAGCGAAAGCGAUAAGUCAUCCACCUGGGGAGUACGUUCGCAAGAAUGAAACUCAAAUGAAUUGGCGGGG